UACAAGUUUUAGGGUGGAAGCUGUAUUUUGCUACAAAGGUAAAAUCAUCGUUAAUUGAUGAAUUGGAUAGAAAAGUGGUUUGAUAUGGCAAGAGGGACCUAGGUAAUGGAAUUAUGACUCGUUCUGAUGCAGAUGAAUGUUAGAAUUACUUUUCUCCUGGCCUACCCUAGACACUGAAUUUGAAUUUGUAGAGUGCUUCAACUCCAAAAGAUACCAUUGUAUGGCGAAUUAAUACCCUUGAAUAAUACACAUUUUGGAAGAAUUAGCCAAUAUUUAGGACCUCAAUAAAGAAAUUGGAGUCCUUUUGCUUGCAAGUCAGGGGAUUAAAAUGCAAAUAUGCACCCAGAAAAAGGUAACAUAAACCGACUUUUUUUUUUUUUUGGAAUCCAUUCCUGUUUUUACUAUUUUAGUUGUGUUUAGUAUUAGCAUAUUACUAAUGGCGAUCCACCAUAGGUUUGAAUAUGUUAUACUCUGUUUUUGUUGGGUGUUUGAAAUCUCACAUUUGUUUUCGAGUGGUUCCAAAAGCAAACUCAAGGAUUUAUCGGCGAUUAUCACACCAAAAAGAGGUUAGAGUUUUCAAGAUUAGAUUAACAAGGGAGGUGGGAUUAAGGAACUUGAAAGAAAAUGAGACUUGAGGAUUGACUAUAGAGAUAUUUGUGGACCAUUAACUUCCACCAAGUGGACCUCCAGCAGAUGGUCUCAUGUGUGCUUAUUAUCAAGUUGUAAUCUUGCUUAAAUAAUUAAGUUAAAAGCAUAGUUUUCUUAUUAUAUAAUUAAAAACAUUCGACUUGAUAAUGCUGGUAAUAAUUAUUGUAUGUCUAUUAAAAUAAAUGUCAAAUAACUUAUAGCUCAUGUUCAUACACAAAAU
This 868-nucleotide long non-coding RNA is filed under the name Cucumis sativus (cucumber). RNAcentral describes it as "long non-coding RNA (CSAT_LNC001026)". The record is from RNAcentral. Lineage: Eukaryota; Viridiplantae; Streptophyta; Magnoliopsida; Cucurbitales; Cucurbitaceae.